This 511-nucleotide unclassified non-coding RNA is filed under the name Schizosaccharomyces pombe (fission yeast). Its description in RNAcentral is "partial external transcribed spacer region". Lineage: Eukaryota; Fungi; Ascomycota; Schizosaccharomycetes; Schizosaccharomycetales; Schizosaccharomycetaceae. The record is from RNAcentral.
GUAAAAGGAGUGGUGGUUGAAAGGAGAAAAGAAAAAAGAAGAUGAAAAGAAAAAAAAAAAGAAAAGAGGAAAAAGAGUUUAAUAGCUUUUGGAACUUUUUUUUUAUUUUUUUUUUGGAUUUGGAAUUUUUUUUUUUUCAACUUUCGUAAAGACUUGCUAAUCUCCUUUUGCUAAGAAUUGAAAAAAUGGGAAAAUGGAAAUUGUUUUGAUUCUUCUCUUUGUGUUGGCAUCGCGGUGCAUUGGAAAGAAAGAUAGAAUUUUACUAUUUUAUUUUUGUUUGCUUUGUAACGGUCUUUGAUUGUCCAGAAGAAUGAAAAGAAGGUCCGUCAAGUUUUUUCAUACUUUUCUUUUUCUUAUUAAAAAUUACAUUUUUUAGAAAAAAGGUUGAACGAGAAGAAGGGGAAAAAAGAAGUGGAAAAGGAGACUUUCUCUUUGGAAACUUUUUUUUUUGUUUCAUUUUUUUUGUAAAAUCGGUUUUCUAAAAUUUGUAAUUUCCCCCAAACCCGGUACC